GGACGCAGGAGGUGGUUUCCCCCCAGGGUCUCCAGGUGAUGGUAAUGCAGAGCAAGGCUUAGAACGACUGCCCCAAAGGCUUGCUCCGUGUGUUGUGGCCCGGGUUAAGUAGCCUGGCGUCACCUGGGAGCUCGAUUGGCUUGCAUAGCUUCACUGCCCACGCAGGGCCUGAUAAACCAGAGCCUGUGUUUCUCCGAGAUGCCCUUACAGUUUGUCUGGAGUGUCCCGGCUGAGCACCGCCCACCAGAGCUCUCAAACUGGAGCUGCGUCGUAAUCCGGCAUCCCCCCGGAAGGCCCUUAAAACCCGGAUGGCUGGGCCCCGCCCCCAGAGUCGCUAAUCUAGCCUGUGCACUUGCAGCCUGUUCCCAGAAGGCAAGGGUGCUGCCCUUCCAGGGAUGCAAGAGGAUGACCCCGGUGAAGCCCGACGUCCUGUUAGCCCUGCGUCCCCGGCCUGCUCUCACGGCUGCACCGCUAGCCCCAGGCUUCUGCAGCACCUCCCAGAAAGAAGAUGGACUCUCACCCAAACUUUGGUCCAGCUGUCAAGACUGAUAACAACACACACACACUAAGAAAGUAUGGAAAUAUUUAUCCCUUACACAAGGCGGCUUUUUGAGGUUGAAGCUCCAAUACUUUUGCCACCUGAUGCAAAGAACUGACUCAUUGGAAAAGACCCUGAUGCUGGGAAAGACUGAAGGCAGGAGGAGAAGCGGAUAACAGAGGACAAGAUGGUUGGAUGGCACCACUGACUCAAUGGACAUGAGUUUGAGCAAGCUCUAGGAGAUGGUGAUGGACAGGGAAGCCUGGCAUGCUGCAGUCCAUGGGGUUGCAAAGAGUUGGACACAACUGAGCAACUGAACUGAACUUAAUGUAUCUCAUUGUCCAUUUAAUGC
Bos taurus (domestic cattle) is the source of this 890-nucleotide long non-coding RNA. NCBI's taxonomy places the organism in Eukaryota, Metazoa, Chordata, Mammalia, Artiodactyla, Bovidae. The record is from Ensembl.